CGAUUGACAAUUUUGGUCCUAUUAACUUUUUUGUAGAUCUUUAUUUGCUGAACAUUGUUACUUGUUACAGUUUAUCUCUAUCUAUUAUAAUAUUCUAAUAUCCAAGAUAAUAUAAAAAAAAACUGCAAAAUUUCCUUAAAAUUACUAAUUUAGUGGCAGCAUCCCAACAAUGGGUUGUUCAAUUCGUCUGAACAUUUGAGGGCCGAAUCUGG
This 212-nucleotide long non-coding RNA is filed under the name Mytilus galloprovincialis (Mediterranean mussel). The record is from RNAcentral. Lineage: Eukaryota; Metazoa; Mollusca; Bivalvia; Mytilida; Mytilidae.